CAAAAGGUAGUUUAAUUAAAAUGCUAGUUUUGGGGGCUAGCGAUGGAAGCGAAGGCUUCUUCUUUUGAA
This 69-nucleotide transfer RNA is filed under the name Anguis fragilis (Slow worm). Its description in RNAcentral is "tRNA-Pro". The record is from RNAcentral. Lineage: Eukaryota; Metazoa; Chordata; Lepidosauria; Squamata; Anguidae.